AACGAACGCUGGCGGCAGGCCUCAAACACGCAAGUCUAGGGGGUGCAGCAAUGCAUCACCGGCGGACGGGUGCGUAACGCGUGGGAAUAUACCUUUUGGUUCGGAACAACUGCGGGAAACUGCAGCUAAUACCGAAUGUGCCCUAACGGGGAAAGAUUUAUCGCCAAAGGAUUAGCCCGCGUAGGAUUAGCUAGUUGGUGAGGUAAUGGCUCACCAAGGCUCCGAUCCUUAGCUGUUCGAGAGGAAGAUCAGCCACACUGGGACUGAGACACGGCCCAGACUCCUACGGGAGGCAGCAGUUGGGAAUCUUGGACAAUGGGGAAACCCUGAUCCAGCCAUGCCGCGUGAGUGAUGAAGGCCUU
Molecule: ribosomal RNA, 362 nt
Filed under: uncultured bacterium
Lineage: Bacteria
Description: bacterial SSU rRNA
Rfam family: Bacterial small subunit ribosomal RNA
Source: RNAcentral